RNAcentral lists this ribosomal RNA (255 nucleotides) under uncultured bacterium. RNAcentral describes it as "partial 16S ribosomal RNA". It matches the Rfam family "Bacterial small subunit ribosomal RNA", at positions 524 to 776 of the family's 1533-position model. The record is from RNAcentral.
UACAGGGGGUGCAAACGUUGCUCGGAAUCAUUGGGCGUAAAGCGCACGUAGGCGGUUCGUUAUGUCGGAUGUGAAAGCCCUUGGCUUAACCGAGGAAGUGCAUCCGAAACUGGCGAGCUAGAGUACUAAAGAGGAUCGCGGAAUUCCCGGUGUAGAGGUGAAAUUCGUAGAUAUCGGGAGGAACACCGGUGGCGAAGGCGGGGUCUCUGGGCAGUAACUGACGCUGAGGAGCGAAAGCGUGGGGAGCGAAACAGG